GACGAACGCUGGCGGCGUGCCUAAUACAUGCAAGUCGAACGCUUCUUUCCUCCCGAGUGCUUGCACUCAAUUGGAAAGAGGAGUGGCGGACGGGUGAGUAACACGUGGGUAACCUACCCAUCAGAGGGGGAUGACACUUGGAAACAGGUGCUAAUACCGCAUAACAGUUUAUGCCGCAUGGCAUAAGAGUGAAAGGCGCUUUCGGGUGUCGCUGAUGGAUGGACCCGCGGUGCAUUAGCUAGUUGGUGAGGUAACGGCUCACCAAGGCCACGAUGCAUAGCCGAACUGAGAGGGUGAUCGGCCACACUGGGACUGAGACACGGCCCAGACUCCUACGGGAAGGAGCAGUAGGGAAUCUUCGGCAAUGGGCGAAAGUCUGGCCGAGCAACGCCGCGGGAGGGAAGAAGGUUUUCGGAUCGUAAAACUCUGUUGUUAGGGAAGAACAAGGACGUUAGUAACUGAACGUCCCCUGACGGGAUCUAACCAGAAAGCCACGGCUAACUACGUG
This 508-nucleotide ribosomal RNA is filed under the name uncultured bacterium. Its description in RNAcentral is "partial 16S ribosomal RNA". It matches the Rfam family "Bacterial small subunit ribosomal RNA", at positions 28 to 507 of the family's 1533-position model. The record is from RNAcentral.